This 536-nucleotide long non-coding RNA is filed under the name Rhinopithecus roxellana (golden snub-nosed monkey). Its description in RNAcentral is "lncRNA (ENSRROG00000045991.1)". The record is from RNAcentral. Lineage: Eukaryota; Metazoa; Chordata; Mammalia; Primates; Cercopithecidae.
AUUUUUGAGUACUCAUUUAAUGUAGUAAACACAGCUUGAAAAGAAAAGCUGUCAAAUAAUUUCCUUAGAAAUUGUUUUACAGCCCACCCGUGUAUUACAAGAAAUCUCAAGUCAAACACUGGAAGAGAUGUCAGAAGAUUCAGAAAAGGAAGACUAUUCAGACAGAACAAUCAGUGAUGAAGAUGAAUCGCUGACUCUUUUGGUGAUCCCUUCUUCCCCCGGACUACACAGAUACUAUUAGAAUAUCAGCUAGGGAGAUGGGUGCCACGUCUUCGUGAACCACGGGAUUUAUAUGGUGUCUCUUCUUCUGGUCCACUGAGCCCAACACGGUGGCCAUACCAUUGUGAAGUCAUCGAUGAAAAAGUCCAGCAUAUUGCCUCCUCAUGACUAUCUGUGGCAGAGGGAAUGGAUAAGGAGCAAUAAAGGAAAAUCCCUAUGCACCUACUGUGACUUCUGCCUGAUUUCUCUCCGGUAGCCGUGAUGAGAGAAUGAGAGCAGAAGAGACCCAAAAGGAAGAGCAAAGCAAGAUCCCAUCG